This 71-nucleotide transfer RNA is filed under the name Stegodyphus mimosarum. It matches the Rfam family "tRNA". Rfam says of the family: Transfer RNA (tRNA) molecules are approximately 80 nucleotides in length. The record is from Rfam by way of RNAcentral. Lineage: Eukaryota; Metazoa; Arthropoda; Arachnida; Araneae; Eresidae.
GCCUUCGUGGUGUAACGGUAGCAGACUCGGCGCAUAUUCCAGAGGUCCAGGUUCGAGUCCCGGCGAGGGCA